GACGAACGCUGGCGGCGUGCUUAACACAUGCAAGUCGAACGGAAAGGCCCUGCUUUUGUGGGGUGCUCGAGUGGCGAACGGGUGAGUAACACGUGAGUAACCUGCCCUUGACUUUGGGAUAACUUCAGGAAACUGGGGCUAAUACCGGAUAGGAGCUCCUGCUGCAUGGUGGGGGUUGGAAAGUUUCGGCGGUUGGGGAUGGACUCGCGGCUUAUCAGCUUGUUGGUGGGGUAGUGGCUUACCAAGGCUUUGACGGGUAGCCGGCCUGAGAGGGUGACCGGCCACAUGGGGACUGAGAUACGGCCCAGACUCAUACGGGGGGCAGCAGUGGGAAUAUUGCACAAUGGGCGGAAGCCUGAUGCAGCAACGCCGCGUGCGGGAUGACGGCCUUCGGGUUGUAAACCGCUUUCGCCUGUGACGAAGCGUGAGUGACGGUAAUGGGUAAAGAAGCACCGGCUAACUACGUG
This 467-nucleotide ribosomal RNA is filed under the name uncultured bacterium. Its description in RNAcentral is "partial 16S ribosomal RNA". It matches the Rfam family "Bacterial small subunit ribosomal RNA", at positions 28 to 507 of the family's 1533-position model. The record is from RNAcentral.